Molecule: non-coding RNA, 625 nt
Organism: Leptonychotes weddellii (Weddell seal)
Lineage: Eukaryota; Metazoa; Chordata; Mammalia; Carnivora; Phocidae
Source: RefSeq, a predicted model, not a curated record
CUUAAGAAACAAUGAAAUUUCAUGGGCCAUAGAAGAUGCUAGUGAAGCUUUUGCUGGACUUACAAGUCUCACUAAAUUAAUCUUACAAGGAAAUCAAAUUAAGUCAAUUACAAAGAAAGCAUUCAUUGGUCUUGAAUCCCUUGAGCAUCUCGAUUUGAACAACAAUGCUAUAAUGUCUAUCCAAGAAAAUGCUUUUUCUCAGACUCGCUUGAAAGAACUGUACGUAACUUAAGUUUUUUUUUGUCACCAGUCAUUAGAUCAUUAUCCAUGCUUGUGCUUAAAGUGUGAUGAAUGUGACCCAUGUGUUUCCAAAAACACACAGUAUAGGCAGGAAAAAAAAGAAAUGUUAAUAUUCAGUUAUUUUAGUGGCUGGAUAUAAUUUUAAAAUAACCCAAGAUUGAAAAGCCUAGAGUUUGUGGCACCAAGACCCUCUGUUUUGCCUGUGCUUACAGUUAAAGAGACCUUAGCAUGGCUCCUUGUGCUUUAAGUAUAUCCUGUUCCUUUUUUUCCCCCCUGUUUAUUUUUGGAUUAUUGGAAAAAUGUGUUCCCAGUCUCCUUAGGUGGGAACCUUAGGGUGGAUUACAGUUAAGGUAUUAGGUAAUUUGUUGGAGAUAAUUUAGCAGUU